GGCAUGGAAGCAAUUCAUAAAAACUUGAAAGAGUGGUGUGAGUGUCCUCUGUAAAUGGUGACUCUGGAAAUUAAUCAAAUCUGGAACUCAACUGGAGAAUAUCCUCAGCAAUAUAUCAAUGUUGUCAUAUGGGAAAGAUGGAACAAAUACGAGAUGGACAAAUAUUUGAAGGCCUAACCACAUAACAAUACUAAACAAAAAUCUACUAAGGCUAGUGGAAAUUAGUAUUCAGGUCGAUAUGUGAAAUAAGGAUUGACUGUAACUGCUAAAACAGAAAACACAAUAAAAUACCAGAUUCAAUACUUUCAUAUGCUGAUGGCAGGAUGCUGUUGGAAAAAUCUGCUUAGAUGUUAAAGGAACAAUCGGCUUAGAGUUUUCAUUAUAAAGGAACAAUCGGCUUAGAUGUUAAGAACUUCUAUCUGAAAUAGAAGUACGUGUAAAUUAAUUUAUGAUGGAAAUUAUUACAUCCUAGAACAAAAUUAUAAAUAUGUGAAUAAAAGAAACCAAAAAAGAAAAAUGCAAAAGGGACAAUUGUGAGGGAAAGAAGGUUGAGAAUUUAUGGAAAUUUAAAAAAAAAAAAAAUAUCGAAUACAUCAGAGGACAGACAACAUAAAUGGGGGGCAAUAGUUCCAGCAACUAGACCUCCAAAAUCAACUAAACACUUAAGCCCCAUCACUCAUCACAAAUAGAAGAACUGAUGCACCAAAUGAUACCAAUUUCUUUGCAGACACCGAUUAUCUCUAAAAAACUUCUACAUAAAUUCAACUCGAACGUUUCUUAGCACAUGAUUUCUUUUUCUCUCAGUUAGUAGUAAGCAUACACUGGAUAACUUACUUUUAUGUUGAACUUUUCUUAAUCUGCGAGCGGUAAAAUUCCACAUACAUUCGGACUGACACGGUGAAAGCAAUAGACGAAUAUAGAAAUGGGAUAAAGAGGUAGGAGGGAGGCAACUAGCGGCGAGUGGCAAUGAAACCGGAAGGCAGAAGCCCUCUCAAUGAACAUGUGAGAUCUGGAAAGCCCAAGCCAUAGUAGGGAUGCUGUGAGAGACGAAAUAGGGUUAGGGAUUUGCAAAGAAGGGAAAUGAAGCAUUUGGAUUUCAGCAGGGAUGAGAAAAGAAUGUGGGAAAUGAAAAUUUAAGUGGGAGGGAAAUUGCAUAGAGUUUAG
RNAcentral lists this long non-coding RNA (1164 nucleotides) under Olea europaea (common olive). RNAcentral's name for it is "long non-coding RNA (OEUR_LNC003188)". Lineage: Eukaryota; Viridiplantae; Streptophyta; Magnoliopsida; Lamiales; Oleaceae. The record is from RNAcentral.